Neltuma alba is the source of this 228-nucleotide long non-coding RNA. RefSeq lists it as uncharacterized. The transcript is spliced from 3 exons. The record is from RefSeq and is a predicted model, not a curated record. Lineage: Eukaryota; Viridiplantae; Streptophyta; Magnoliopsida; Fabales; Fabaceae.
GUUUUAAAGCUCUCAGGUUGAAUUGAUCUAAACACUAUAACUUCAUACAUCACUCUCGUGCAUCCACCUCAAAAUGCUAAGAUGAUGGGAGUGACGAUUACAUUCGACUAUUGACCUCGGCAUAUUACGGCCACGACUUUCUUUCUGUUGGAUCUUGAAGAGUUGGAUUCAACUGGACAUUAAGUGUCUUUGGUCAUCGGCGUCGAUGAUUCGCUGGUCGCCGCCGCG